RNAcentral lists this ribosomal RNA (497 nucleotides) under uncultured bacterium. RNAcentral's name for it is "partial 16S ribosomal RNA". It matches the Rfam family "Bacterial small subunit ribosomal RNA", at positions 28 to 507 of the family's 1533-position model. The record is from RNAcentral.
GAUGAACGCUGGCGGCGUGCCUAAUACAUGCAAGUCGAGCGAACGGACGAGAAGCUUGCUUCUCUGAUGUUAGCGGCGGACGGGUGAGUAACACGUGGAUAACCUACCUAUAAGACUGGGAUAACUUCGGGAAACCGGAGCUAAUACCGGAUAAUAUUUUGAACCGCAUGGUUCAAAAGUGAAAGACGGUCUUGCUGUCACUUCUAGAUGGAUCCGCGCUGCAUUAGCUAGUUGGUAAGGUAACGGCUUACCAAGGCAACGAUGCAUAGCCGACCUGAGAGGGUGAUCGGCCACACUGGAACUGAGACACGGUCCAGACUCCUACGGGAGGCAGCAGAAGGGAAUCUUCCGCAGUGGGCGAAAGCCUGACGGAGCAACGCCGCGUGAGUGAUGAAGGUCUUCGGAUCGUAAAACUCUGUUAUUAGGGAAGAACAUAUGUGUAAGUAACUGUGCACAUCUUGACGGUACCUAAUCAGAAAGCCACGGCUAACUACGUG